UGGGGAAUAUUGGGCAAUGGGCGCAAGCCUGACCCAGCAACGCCGCGUGAGCGAUGAAGGUCUUCGGAUUGUAAAGCUCUUUAAGUGGGGACGAAGAAAGUGACUGUACCCACAGAAUAAGCUCCGGCUAACUACGUGCCAGCAGCCGCGGUAAUACGUAGGGAGCAAGCGUUAUCCGGAAUGACUGGGCGUAAAGGGUGCGUAGGUGGCUUGGCAAGUUGGUAGCGUAAUUCCGGGGCUUAACUUCGGCGCUACUACCAAAACUGCCGGGCUUGAGUGCAGGAGGGGUGAACGGAAUUCCCAGUGUAGCGGUGGAAUGCGUAGAUAUUGGGAAGAACACCAGCGGCGAAGGCGGUUCACUGGACUGUAACUGACACUGAGGCACGAAAGCGUGGGGAGC
Molecule: ribosomal RNA, 400 nt
Filed under: uncultured bacterium
Lineage: Bacteria
Description: bacterial SSU rRNA
Rfam family: Bacterial small subunit ribosomal RNA
Source: RNAcentral